This is an RNA transcript of Nilaparvata lugens (brown planthopper), 508 nucleotides long. RefSeq lists it as uncharacterized. The transcript is spliced from 3 exons. The record is from RefSeq and is a predicted model, not a curated record. NCBI's taxonomy places the organism in Eukaryota, Metazoa, Arthropoda, Insecta, Hemiptera, Delphacidae.
UUUAAAACCUGCAUGAAUUAGUAUUUCAUGUUUCAUCAUUUUGGGUAAGUUAACAUAUUGUUUUUGAUCGAUAAUUUCGAUUUUUCCAGUUGGAGAACUAUCAAACGCGCUAACAAAUGUGAGCAACGAGGAUUUCAAGGCGAAAUACGGGUUAGAUAAGCCAGACGUGAAUGAUGAGCUGAUAUUCUCUUGUCGGUCAGGCAAACGCAGUUUGAUGGCGUAUAGUGCUGCACAGAAGGCUGGAUACAACAAUAUUUACAACUAUUCUGGCGGUUGGUUAGAUUGGGCAAACAAUUCUGCUUCUUGAAGGUUUGGCUGAUUGCUUAGAACCAUGUAAACGAGAUAACUUCGAUGGAAUGAUGUAGACUUGAAGAAUAUCACACAGCGGGACGAGCAUUGACAACACAUUCAGUUUGGAGGCACCCAGCAGUUUUUGAUUAUGGUUGUAUUUGUAAGCAAAAAUAAUAUAUUAUAGUAAUUCUAAUAAAACGACCUAUUUCAAAAUUUG